GAAUUACGUUUCCCCGAAGCUAUUUGAUGUGAUAGAGUAGACAUUGGAUGGAAGUUUGAAGGAUCACGUCAGAAGAGGCGUGACCUCCUGGCGUUGAAUUAUUAUAUCCUUCGUUUUGUUGUACAAUGGAUAUAGACAUUUUGAUUAGUAGGUUGGCUUGUUGUAUAUAGAAUAGAUCCCUUUUAGGAACUAGCCAAUCAAUGUACUAAUUAACCAUUGGAAGAUUCAUCUUCACUGGCUUGACGAAAAUUGAACAGCUUCCUUCAUGUAGUCAUAGAUG
RNAcentral lists this unclassified non-coding RNA (280 nucleotides) under Hevea brasiliensis (rubber tree). Lineage: Eukaryota; Viridiplantae; Streptophyta; Magnoliopsida; Malpighiales; Euphorbiaceae. The record is from RNAcentral.